CAUCUCAUCACUAACAAAUUUAAAAAAAAGAAUCCUUUUGGCUUUAGCUGCACUUCACCCUUUCACUAUGGCUUCCACUUCCCAUUUCACUAUUUUUUUUUCACUUCUUGUUCUAUUCUCCGUGCUUCACCCUGCCAUAGCCACAACAAGAAAACUUGCUGCUCUGGUUCAAGAACAGCCUCUCCUGCUUAACUACCACAAUGGCCCACUUCUUAAAGGCAACGUCACUGUUAAUCUAAUCUGGUAUGGCAAGUUCACUCCUACCCAGCGAUCCAUAAUCGUUGACUUUCUCAACUCUCUCAAUUGGCUUAAAGCUCCAUCUCCUUCAGUAUCGUCCUGGUGGGAAACUACCGGGAGGUACAGAGGAGGCCCAUGCACGGUUGUCCUGGGGAAUCAGGUCCUUGAUGAGAACUACUCUCUUGGAAAAUCACUCAAAACGCCACAGCUUGUAGCGUUGGCUUCCAAAGCUGGCUACGGUGAAAAUUCAGCCAAUUUCGUAUUUACCUCUGCUGAUGUGGCGAUUGAGGGAUUUUGCAUGAGUCGAUGUGGGACACAUGGAUCGGGUAAGGGCAAGACGGGGAAGUUUGCCUACGCCUGGGUAGGUAACUCGUUGAGUCAGUGCCCCGGUCAGUGCGCAUGGCCUUUCCACCAGCCCAUUUACGGACCACAAACCCCUCCUUUGGUCUCUCCAAAUGGCGAUGUUGGAAUCGACGGCAUGAUCAUUAAUUUGGCCACGGUUUUGGCAGGAACGGUGACGAAUCCUUUUAGUAACGGUUACUUUCAGGGGAGUGCCGAAGCCCCUCUGGAGGCAGUGAGCGCGUGCACGGGCAUUUUUGGGAAAGGAGCAUACUCGGGAUAUCCUGGGGAGGUUCUGGUGGACAAAAUCACAGGAGCUGGCUACAACGCAUUUGGUAUGAACGGGCGCAAGUAUCUGCUCCCUGCAAUGUGGGACCCGCAAACCUCCACCUGCAAAACCCUCGUGUAAAUAAAAUAAAAUAUUAUAUGUUAGAAAAGUAAUUGUCUGUAUGUAUUCUCUUUUUCUGAGAAUAAUAUUAUGUACUCGUGUAGAUACAAGCAUAGGCUACACUUUGGAGAGUCGUUUAUUUCUUUCAAGUGGUAUGUAUGUUGUGCAUUAGAAUGUUAUGUUACAUACAACACUCCUUAAUAAAA
Molecule: unclassified non-coding RNA, 1170 nt
Filed under: Hevea brasiliensis (rubber tree)
Lineage: Eukaryota; Viridiplantae; Streptophyta; Magnoliopsida; Malpighiales; Euphorbiaceae
Source: RNAcentral